GAGAAGGUAUAAAUGGGCAGUGCACAGGGCCCAACUUUACUAAUCAACCCUAAAAUCAACAUUUAACCCGUUGGGUUUUAAAGUCUUUAAAGUAUAUAUCCAGUAUAACUCACGUUUUUUGAGGAGAGCUUGUCUAUCUCCCCCCCGUCUCCCCA
Molecule: long non-coding RNA, 155 nt
Organism: Bufo bufo (common toad)
Lineage: Eukaryota; Metazoa; Chordata; Amphibia; Anura; Bufonidae
Exons: 3
Source: RefSeq, a predicted model, not a curated record